RNAcentral lists this ribosomal RNA (313 nucleotides) under uncultured bacterium. RNAcentral's name for it is "bacterial SSU rRNA". It matches the Rfam family "Bacterial small subunit ribosomal RNA", at positions 28 to 334 of the family's 1533-position model. The record is from RNAcentral.
GAUGAACGCUAGCUACAGGCUUAACACAUGCAAGUCGAGGGGCAUCAGGAAGAAAGCUUGCUUUCUUUGCUGGCGACCGGCGCACGGGUGAGUAACACGUAUCCAACCUGCCCUUUACUCGGGAUAGCCUUUCGAAAGAAAGAUUAAUACCCGAUAGCAUAAUGAUUCCGCAUGGUUUCAUUAUUAAAGGAUUCCGGUAAAGGAUGGGGAUGCGUUCCAUUAGGUUGUUGGUGAGGUAACGGCCCACCAAGCCUUCGAUGGAUAGGGGUUCUGAGAGGAAGGUCCCCCACAUUGGAACUGAGACACGGUCCAA